GUGAUUGUGAGUGGCAAAUGGGGGCGGGGAGGGAGAGGUAUUUGUUCCUCACUUCCCGUGUACUUUCUUCAGUCUGCUUGUGUCACUUCUGAUUUUGAUAACUGCUGAGCUCAAUCUAGAUGAAAUGAUUUUGAUGAUGUGUUUCAGCCCUGUCUUCUUAAUCUGUGACAGCAUGCUGUAGCUUUGGGUAGUUGAUUCUUUAGAUUAAUUUUACUCUGGUGUUCAUUUCCCAUGAAAGUGAUCCAAAUGCAGCCUUCUAAUUUACUUAUCUAUCUGCUGAGUAAAUUCCUAUAACCCUUUUGAGUCUGGGGAAUCAGCCUCUCCUCAAUCGUGAAAGGUGUAAGCAGUUCUGCYGCUCUGUGCACUUAAGUUUGUUUCACACUUGUGAUCUUCUCAUACUUCUAUAUGGAAAGGGAGGUCUUAAUCCAUGCCCUUCUUAACACAGUCCUUAUUGGGGUAAGUUUUGACCUUCUUCCUUCACUACCUCUUCUGUGCCCUAACAGACCCCAUAUCAGCUAGGGGAAGCUGUCAGCAAUAUGGGGAGACCUGGGCACAUCAAGAACCAAAAGGGGCCUGUUCCUCAGGCCGUGCGCAGGCCUACCACCAGAAGGACGCAGUUUCAUCAACUAAUUGCCCUAGCGCGAAAUAUGACAGGACACACUAUCUGUGGCCUCCGCUAAUGGUAGAGGCUGCAGGGAAACCCAUCCUUUGCCACGGCUCCUACGCUGAAGAACGGUCCUCAGGUAGAGAAGUUGGAGGUUGCACCACCAUCUCCGGGACAGCUGAGACAUGUGUUCUUCCACAAUGCAUUACCUUUUGUAGGGUUUGGAUUUUUGGAUAACGCAAUUAUGAUUGCUGCG
Apteryx rowi (Okarito brown kiwi) is the source of this 860-nucleotide long non-coding RNA. NCBI's taxonomy places the organism in Eukaryota, Metazoa, Chordata, Aves, Apterygiformes, Apterygidae. The record is from Ensembl.